Molecule: unclassified non-coding RNA, 240 nt
Filed under: soil metagenome
Description: partial contains 5.8S ribosomal RNA, internal transcribed spacer 2, and large subunit ribosomal RNA
Source: RNAcentral
AACCAUAGAAACCUGCGGAGUACCUGCGGAAGGAUCAUUACAGAGUUCGUGCCCUCGCGGGUAGAUCUCCCACCCUUGUGUAUUUUCUACAUCUUGUUGCUUUGGCAGGCCGUUGGUUCGCCAACCACCGGCUCGCGGGCUGGUGCGUGCCUGCCAGAGGACCUCUCAAACUCGGUUUGUUAGUGUCGUCUGAGUACCAUAACAAUCGUUAAAACUUUUAGCAAUGGAUCUCAGAUCGGA